Molecule: long non-coding RNA, 202 nt
Filed under: Carica papaya (papaya)
Lineage: Eukaryota; Viridiplantae; Streptophyta; Magnoliopsida; Brassicales; Caricaceae
Description: long non-coding RNA (CPAP_LNC009516)
Source: RNAcentral
UCGUUCACUUCCAGAUGAACCUAAAUGUUGAAAAAAUUUUAAGCUCUUGAUGGUUCAUAGUGAACAUAUCAAUAUUUUCUCUGAAAUUGCUAUGCACAUUAAGAUAGACGUUGAGCGUAAAAAGAUACUUAAUCAUUCCAAUGUGGCAUUUGUUGCCCAUGUGGCCAAAUCCGAGGGAAAUAAACCUAAUCGUGCUAAGUAA